Molecule: ribosomal RNA, 253 nt
Filed under: uncultured bacterium
Lineage: Bacteria
Description: partial 16S ribosomal RNA
Rfam family: Bacterial small subunit ribosomal RNA
Source: RNAcentral
UACGUAGGGGGCUAGCGUUGUCCGGAAUCAUUGGGCGUAAAGCGCGUGUAGGCGGCCCGGUAAGUCCGCUGUGAAAGUCCAGGGCUCAACCCUGGGAUGCCGGUGGAUACUGUCGGGCUCGAGUCCGGAAGAGGCGAGUGGAAUUCCUGGUGUAGCGGUGAAAUGCGUAGAUAUCGGGAGGAACACCAGUGGCGAAGGCGGCUAGCUGGGCCAGUUCUGACGCUGAGGCGCGAAAGCGUGGGGAGCAAACAGG